Molecule: long non-coding RNA, 568 nt
Organism: Helicoverpa armigera (cotton bollworm)
Lineage: Eukaryota; Metazoa; Arthropoda; Insecta; Lepidoptera; Noctuidae
Exons: 2
Source: RefSeq, a predicted model, not a curated record
UUAGGGUCAGGUGGCCAACAGUGAACCAGUGGGACACAGUGACCCACCACUCAUAUCUCGUAAACGCGACGUUGCCAUUCCGUGCUACGAACAUGAUUAAACCUGUUUGUAGCCACGAUAGUUAUUCCCCAGUCGACGGCGCGCUUCCGCCAAAAAACAGUCGCGCUGUGAGGUGUUUUGUGUUUUGCGCCAAAAAAAGUUGAAAGAAUGGGUCGAACAAAGAAGCUAGAAAGAAAAAUUGGGGGACAUAGUGCACAAGAUAUGCAGAAAGCUAUCCAACUUGUAAAAGAUAUUGAUUAAAAUAAUUGAAGACUGUUUAAAAUUAAGUUUAUUUUACGAUGGAUCUCAUAGAGUAAGUUUUAUAAUAAUUAUUAAAACUUGCUCAAGUCUAAAAAACUCGUUGAUUGUUAAAGUUUAUUUGAUAUUGUUAUAAAUAAAACUAAUGUUGACUACAAAAAUCUAAAUAAGAAGAAGUAAAUAAAAAUAUGACUCUUUAUACUUUUAUAACGCCUACUUUGUAUACAUUUAUAGUAUUAGACACUUUGGUGAAUAAAGUUCAUUUCAUAUU